This 373-nucleotide ribosomal RNA is filed under the name uncultured organism. Its description in RNAcentral is "partial 16S ribosomal RNA". It matches the Rfam family "Bacterial small subunit ribosomal RNA", at positions 525 to 896 of the family's 1533-position model. The record is from RNAcentral.
GGGGGGGGGGCAAGCGUUGUUCGGAAUUACUGGGCGUAAAGGGCGCGCAGGCGGCCUGGCAAGUCCUACGUGAAAUCCCACAGCUUAACUGUGGAACUGCGUGGGAUACUGCCAGGCUUGAGUCCGGGAGAGGAGAGUGGAAUUCCCAGUGUAGCGGUGAAAUGCGUAGAUAUUGGGAGGAACACCGGUGGCGAAGGCGGCUCUCUGGACCGGUACUGACGCUGAGGCGCGAAAGCUAGGGGAGCAAACGGGAUUAGAUACCCCGGUAGUCCUAGCCGUAAACUUUGAGCACUUUGUGUGGCGGGUAUCGACCCCUGCCGUGCAGAAGCUAACGCAUUAAGUGCUCCGCCUGGGGAGUACGGUCGCAAGGCUG